UAUAUAAUUAAUAUACAAUAUAAGAAAAAUCACACGGUAGGCCAUCAAUUAUCCGGCGAUCAAUAUUUCGAUAAUGUAGUAUAUAAAGCGAAAAUUAUAUCCUAAAAGACUUCGCUUUUAUUGAAUGCCUAUGAUGAGCAUUAAGUAGGAAAAAAUGUGAUAGCGUCUAUCAAGAGGUACUUAUAUAUAAUGUAGCGACGAAUUUAUAGGGGUAUAGGGAUGCCACACCCCCACUCAGAAAUUAAGUCUGCAAAAUUUAAUAAACAGCUGAGAAUGGAUUGUAAAAUGUGUAUUUCUGAUAUACUCGAAAAAAUUAAUAACACUAGUAACAGUAUUAUUUUGAAAGAUAAAAACUAUUGUAAAUUGUUUACUGAUAACAUGAUUAUUAAUUACAAUAGAUAUCAUUUACUAUGGCUAAACCAUCUAAAAUUUGGUAACUGGUCAUUAAAAAUCUUCGGGCAAUAGCGGGCGAGAUUUAAAAAACCAAAAUUUCGGUAAUCCGUUAAGAUAAUGGGAGUCAAAAUACUUAGAUUGCGAUUGAUAACUGUUAAAAAUAUUAUAUUGGAUUUCCAAUAAACAGUAAUAUUUGUAUAUCGGAG
Molecule: long non-coding RNA, 599 nt
Filed under: Androctonus crassicauda
Lineage: Eukaryota; Metazoa; Arthropoda; Arachnida; Scorpiones; Buthidae
Source: RNAcentral